Molecule: long non-coding RNA, 1929 nt
Organism: Cyprinus carpio carpio
Lineage: Eukaryota; Metazoa; Chordata; Actinopteri; Cypriniformes; Cyprinidae
Source: Ensembl
GGGGGUUAGAGGGUGAUUAAAAAUUAGAGGGGGUGAAAGUCAGCACAGAUGUUUGAGCUGCAGGUGGAGCAUUUAAAAUUGAUAAAAUAAGGUAAAAUCAUCCCAGACAAACCACCAUUUUUAUUUUUCUCUUCCAUAGAUCGCAACAAAAUAAGUGAGUCACUGCACGCAAUGGCAUCUUGAACGAUAUUCAAGUUAAACAAUUAUUUAACUAAAAAUUAUCUAACAUUAAACAUUCUAUGCAGUCAGUGCAAAUGUCAGUGAGUCUCUCUCUCUGUUUCCAUAAUUCACUUUCAAGUUCCAAAUCUCUGGGAGCAGAGUGGGCAGUCUGGGAGAAUGGAGAUGAACAUGGUUAUACUAAGGGCAGAGUUUCUAUAAAGAUAAAAUGGUGAUUUGCUGAAGAACGUGGCUUUACACCUGAAUUAACUUUAUGAGUGACUGGUAUGAAGAAGUGAGGGGGUUGCUUUUUGUAACUCAAGAACCUACAAGAGAGCUCACAGGAUGUGGGGAUUAUGGGAGCCCACCGCUGCAUUGGAGUUCUCGUCUGAUCCAUCCCCUGUGACUGAUCUUCUGCUGAUUAUGUUUGGGUUGGACCAGUGACAUUGGUAAUAGCCACUUACACUUACAUGACAACACACUGACUAACAUUUAUACUAACUACUUAACAUUCUUUAGUUAAAUAAAUAUUAAGACGCCGUUGCAUGUGGUGACUCCCUUAUUUUGUUGUGAUCUGACUGUGCGUUCGCAACGCCACUGACAAGAGUGUCAAAUUUCGCUCUGCCAACAACAAUGUAGAAAGAUUCAUGGAUGCUCUGAUGAGCGAACGCAUGGUCUUGUAUUUAAAGGAGCCACAAAGGAAACAAGCAUGUUGAUCUUGUGCAGACUGACCACAAGUAGGGUAUAAGUUAACUGCAUGAAAUAUUUAAAAUGUGCAAGAAAGUGAUCAAUGUAAAGAACAUAACAAUUAUAGUUACAUGUUUGUUAACAAAAUAAACCAAUUAAAAGCCAUUUGUGUGGUGUGGCUUUUGUGUUCAUGGUUAGUCUAAUUUCAACAUGCAUUUUAUAUGAGAUGUUUAAUAGCCUUAGUCUUUAAUUAACAUUAACAUUAAUUUGUGCACAGCCUACAAUACAAACUGUCCCGGUUGAAGUGUAGUCUUAAUGCAACUUGUCAAAUUGGUGUUGUUUUGAGUAAAUUAAUUGCAUUCCCGAAAAAAAAAAAAAAAAAGUGACACUAUAAAGUGAUGAAACUAUAGAACCAUGUACUUUUUAAAACUAUUUUCAGCAUUACAAUAUUGGCUUGAAAAUACGCUGAUUUGACUAGAAACACCAGAGACUGGAAAUGGACAGCAUAAUAAGUCAGGUGAGACUUUCACGUUCAAGAAAACUAGAGAGAAUUCUAUCAAGCUCUCACACCAUUUUCCUACAUGUAUGCUCAUGCUUAUAAAUGUCUUUCUGUUAGAACUAAUGGUUUAAAUCAGAACCAAUCCUUAUAUUCUGAACUUUGUCCACAUCUGUAAUGUACCUGUAAUUUUCUAAUAACUCUGAAAAUGCUGAUCAGCUUGCUCAGGUGCCUUUAAUGGAGCUAAACUCUGCAGGUCAGUGGUCUUCCAGGGCUGGAUUUAAGGAACCCUGCAGUUUAUGCUUACAUUUCCUGUCAUGUGGCCAGUGUAUUAAUGGAUCGGGUGUGUUUCAAUUACUGCUAAUGCUGUAGAGUGGACAUUUUAUAUCCAUGAGAAUAAGAUUUUCAAUUUGGUUGCUCAUUCUCAUGGAAAGGUAGUUAGGUAAUUGAGUGCCUCCUUGAAUUAUGACGCACAGUGUCAGGCUAAGUAAGAAAUCUAUUUGCAUAAUGUUUACUUUGCUCCCAAAUCAUCACUCAUUUAUUUAAAAUGAAACACAGCCCUCCUGGUUAAUGUCACUAACCCUGGUGGU